This 497-nucleotide ribosomal RNA is filed under the name uncultured bacterium. RNAcentral describes it as "partial 16S ribosomal RNA". It matches the Rfam family "Bacterial small subunit ribosomal RNA", at positions 28 to 507 of the family's 1533-position model. The record is from RNAcentral.
GAUGAACGCUGGCGGCGUGCCUAAUACAUGCAAGUCGAGCGAACGGACGAGAAGCUUGCUCCUCUGAUGUUAGCGGCGGACGUGUGAGUAACACGUGGAUAACCUACCUAUAAGACUGGGAUAACUUCGGGAAACCGGAGCUAAUACCGGAUAAUAUUUUGAACCGCAUGGUUCAAAAGUGAAAGACGGUCUUGCUGUCACUUAUAGAUGUAUCCGCGCUGCAUUAGCUAGUUGGUAAGGUAACGGCUUACCAAGGCAACGAUGCAUAGCCGACCUGAGAGGGUGAUCGGCCACACUGGAACUGAGACACGGUCCAGACUCCUACGGGAGGCCGCAGUAGGGAAUCUUCCGAACUGGGCGAAAGCCUGACGGAGCAACGCCGCGUGAGUGAUGAAGGUCUUCGGAUCGUAAAACUCUGUUAUUAGGGAAGACCAUAUGUGUAAGUAACUAUGCACGUCUUGACGGUACCUAAUCAGAAAGCCACGGCUAACUACGUG